GAUGAACGCUGGCGGCGUGCCUAAUACAUGCAAGUCGAGCGAACAGAUGAGGAGCUUGCUCCUCUGACGUUAGCGGCGGACGGGUGAGUAACACGUGGAUAACCUACCUAUAAGACUGGGAUAACUUCGGGAAACCGGAGCUAAUACCGGAUAAUAUAUUGAACCGCAUGGUUCAAUAGUGAAAGACGGUUUUGCUGUCACUUAUAGAUGGAUCCGCGCCGCAUUAGCUAGUUGGUAGGUAACGGCUUACCAAGGCGACGAUGCGUAGCCGACCUGAGAGGGUGAUCGGCCACACUGGAACUGAGACACGGUCCAGACUCCUACGGGAGGCAGCAGUAGGGAAUCUUCCGCAAUGGGCGAAAGCCUGACGGAGCAACGCCGCGUGAGUGAUGAAGGUCUUCGGAUCGUAAAACUCUGUUAUUAGGGAAGAACAAAUGUGUAAGUAACUAUGCACGUCUUGACGGUACCUAAUCAGAAAGCCACGGCUAACUACGU
Molecule: ribosomal RNA, 495 nt
Filed under: uncultured bacterium
Lineage: Bacteria
Description: partial 16S ribosomal RNA
Rfam family: Bacterial small subunit ribosomal RNA
Source: RNAcentral